Molecule: long non-coding RNA, 1265 nt
Organism: Cavia porcellus (domestic guinea pig)
Lineage: Eukaryota; Metazoa; Chordata; Mammalia; Rodentia; Caviidae
Exons: 4
Source: RefSeq, a predicted model, not a curated record
AGCAAGGGUCAGAGCUCCACUGAUUUGGUCCCCACAGACGCUGGUCUGCUGGGCAUCUGAACUGAGGAUUUGGAGCGUCGAGUCGCCCACUGUGGACGGAGGGCUCGCUGCAUCCUGGGCCCCGUGCCCGUUCAGUUUGCUGGUGCAAAAGAUGCCAAGAAAAUCCUCCCGUGGAUGUAGGAAUGAAGCUACCUAACGGCUGUUCCGAGAAGCCAACCUGGGUUUGAUUGUCUCCCUUGGGACUCAACAUUGGCCAAGACCUGCUCUCUGCCUCCGAGGAGUGACCUGGCAGACUUCCGCCAAAGGCAAGUUGAGAAUUUGGGGCAAUCAUUCAUCCCAACCCAGGGUCCCAUCGUACACUGACCUGGUAAGCGUCUGCCCAAUAAAAAGUUUGUCCUGGAGGUGGACAAAAUGACCCCAGCUAGAUCUACGGCUAGGCCACUGAGUGAGACCCACAUAAACCACUUGCAAAGAUGCAGUUCCACAAAAGGAGAAUUCAUUUUGCCGUGUCCUGCUGCUCGUAUUAAACUGUGGAGCCUGCCUGAGCCUAACCUUUACCUUGAUGUGUGUUAUUGCUUACAGACUGGAGGAUCUGUGCAGGUCCAGAGUUAUAGGUCUCAAAUCUACAACAGACACAUGCUGAAGCAUUCAACUGCCCCAGAAAUAAAACUGAAUCCACAUAUCAAUGGCCGAUGUUUUACCUGGAAAAUUAGCCAUCUUGUCUCUUAAUCUUUAAUACAGAAGCAUCCACUUGGAAGCUAAAGUUUGGAAAAUGGACCACCUGGUAAGCUGUGAUGGAAGCAGGAUUUCGUUCAACGUCGAUCUGUCAGAGUCGAGCAUUUUCAGAAGCUCCAAGGAGAGCAGGAAAUCUUCUUAGUAGUACAGAGAGCAUGAACCCAUUUUUUUUUUAAACUCACAAGAAAAGCACAUACAUGUGAGUGGACAUUAAACUAGAUGAUAUCCCUAGGGAUACGUCUCAGAGACCUGGCGGAAUCACUGCUGUCUGGGUUGGUUCAGCGGCCCUGGGGCACACACUAGGUUUGGAGCAAUCUCACAUAUCCCUCCUUCGGAAUGCAAGGAUCUGCACCAUCUGCCUUCCAACAUCUGCUGUGUCAUCUACUUCGUGAUGGGGAAAGGGAAGGAAGAAAUUCUGAAGGAGGAGGAGGAGGAGGAAGACGCCAUCAUGGUUACGAAUGUCGCUGAUGUUACAAUGAAGAUGGAGAAGACUGAGCGAGAGAAAAAGGAGGAAAGAGGAGGAAGAGGAG